Molecule: ribosomal RNA, 1225 nt
Filed under: metagenome
Description: bacterial SSU rRNA
Rfam family: Bacterial small subunit ribosomal RNA
Source: RNAcentral
AUGGCCUACCAAACCUACGAUGGAUAGGGGUUCUGAGAGGAAGGUCCCCCACACUGGUACUGAGACACGGACCAGACUCCUACGGGAGGCAGCAGUGAGGAAUAUUGGUCAAUGGGCGAGAGCCUGAACCAGCCAAAUCGUGAAGGAUGAAGGUAUUAUGUAUUGUAAACUUCUUUUGUCAGGGAAUAAAGUGCGUCACGUGUGGCGUUUUGUAAGUACCUGAAGAAUAAGGAUCGGCUAACUCCGUGCCAGCAGCCGCGUAAUACGGAGGAUCCAAGCGUUAUCCGGAUUUAUUGGGUUUAAAGGGUGCGUAGGCGGACCCUUAAGUCAGCGGUGAAAGUUCCCGGCUCAACCGGGGAAUUGCCGUUGAAACUACGGGUCUUGAGUGUAGAUGAGGUGGGCGGAAUUCGUAGUGUAGCGGUGAAAUGCUUAGAUAUUACGAAGAACUCCAAUUGCGAAGGCAGCUCACUGGGCUACAACUGACGCUGAGGCACGAAGGUGCGGGGAUCAAACAGGAUUAGAUACCCUGGUAGUCCGCACAGUAAACGAUGAAUACUAACUGUUUGCGAUACACAGUAAGCGGUACAGCGAAAGCGUUAAGUAUUCCACCUGGGGAGUACGCCGGCAACGGUGAAACUCAAAGGAAUUGACGGGGGCCCGCACAAGCGGAGGAACAUGUGGUUUAAUUCGAUGAUACGCGAGGAACCUUACCCGGGCUUGAAUUGCAGACGAAUGUGUGUGAAAGCAUGCAGCCAGCAAUGGCGUCUGUGAAGGUGCUGCAUGGUUGUCGUCAGCUCGUGCCGUGAGGUGUCGGCUUAAGUGCCAUAACGAGCGCAACCCUCAUCAAUAGUUACUAACAGGUUAAGCUGAGGACUCUAUUGAGACUGCCAGCGUAAGCUGUGAGGAAGGUGGGGAUGACGUCAAAUCAGCACGGCCCUUACGUCCGGGGCGACACACGUGUUACAAUGGGGGGGACAGCAGGCAGCUACACGGCGACGUGAUGCAAAUCCCCAAACCCCCUCUCAGUUCGGAUCGAAGUCUGCAACCCGACUUCGUGAAGCUGGAUUCGCUAGUAAUCGCGCAUCAGCCAUGGCGCGGUGAAUACGUUCCCGGGCCUUGUACACACCGCCCGUCAAGCCAUGGGAGUUGGGGGUGCCUAAAGUACGUAACCGCAAGGAUCGUCCUAGGGCAAAACCGAUGACUGGGGCUAAGUCGUAACAAGGUA